Small nuclear RNA from Rhinopithecus bieti (black snub-nosed monkey), 105 nucleotides. Lineage: Eukaryota; Metazoa; Chordata; Mammalia; Primates; Cercopithecidae. The record is from Ensembl.
GUGCACGUUGGCAGCACAUAUACUAAAAUUGGAAUGAUACAGAGAUCAUCAGCAUGACCCUUGUGCAAGAAUAACAUACACAUUUGUGAAGUGCUUCAUAUAUAU